Long non-coding RNA from Solanum dulcamara, 6515 nucleotides. RefSeq lists it as uncharacterized. The transcript is spliced from 3 exons. Lineage: Eukaryota; Viridiplantae; Streptophyta; Magnoliopsida; Solanales; Solanaceae. The record is from RefSeq and is a predicted model, not a curated record.
UAAUCAAUUUCUAUUCUCUUUGGUUGCCCCCAUCUCUCCUCUUUCUCUCCCAUUCAUCCUACAAACCCUAAAAUCCUUCUUCAAGCUCAAACGGGCCUGGGUAUGAGAGUAUGAAUGCAACGUAUUAGUUCAACUGUGUUUUCAUUUUCUGAAACUUCAACAUAGUUUAGGUCCUUCACAGGUUAGCAUAACCUUAGGGGUGGGUACCUCAAACAAUAGCUGAAGCAGUAGCUAUGAACAGUUAAACAAUAGCUGAAUUUUCAUUAUUAAGUAUAAAUACUCUCUUCAUUAAGAAUUGUUUUGAUCUAUCCAGAAGAAAGACCUGCAACAUUUUAGAAAACCCAUGUGGAAACUUACGAACGGCGAACCAUAUGACAGAAAAAAGGGUUCAGAACUUCACUGUGCUUUUGUGGUUGGUGGUUGUGCCUGCACUUUGCUACCAUACGAAAUCUCCCAUUUCUUUGAUCAGGCAAAACAGGAGAAGUAGCACCAAAAAAAAAAAAGAUAAGCUCCCUGCCUUAAGGAUGAAGCUCAAGGUGGAUUAUAGUUGCACCCGAAGUGUUUUUAAGAUUUAUUGACCAUGAGCUUGAACUAUCACUGACAAGGAUGAGUGCUUUGCAAAACCAAGAACAAGUUGAGACCGACUGUCAAGAUGAAGAUGCAACAUUGCUAGAACAGACUCAACUGGCUGAUGAGACAGUUGCUGCAAAUGCUUCUCAAGGACAUCAUAAUCCAAUUCAUGUGGGACAUAAUCUAAAAGCUUUACAAUUUAAUGAUCUGGAAGAGGAGGAUGAUAUUGAUUUUGAUGGAUUUGGUGCCACAGGUGCCAUAGUCCCUUCUCCACUGGCACCUGGUGCUAUGUUUUGACAUCACUAGCACAAUGAUAUAAUUGUUGAACAUGAAGGGUCUGUUUGGAGGAGCUUCUGGAGAUGAUCCAAACCUCAUUUGAUCAACUUUCUGGGGAUAUGCAAAGCCUUAAGGCUUCUUCAGGUCAGACAAAAUGUUAUAAGCCUAAUGUUGUUCCAUUUCUCAUUGACUGAUGAAGCAACAUUUUGGCUACUUUUACUUCAAGAUGACUCCACUACAAAUUGGGGAGAGCUAAAAGCUGUUUUUUCUUAAGAGAUUCUUUCCACCUUCUAGGAUGUUGCAAUUGUGUGAUGAGAUAAAUAAUCUCAAUAAGCAAGGGAAGAAGCAUUACAUGAAGCCUGGAUGAAAUUCAACAAGAAGCUGAAACAGUCCCCGAACCACAAGAUAGUAGAUAAAAACAAGUUACAAAUUUUCUAUCGGUCCUUGAACUCUGUUACUAAGAUAGUUAUUGAUUCUAUUGUUAGAGGUUCCAUGAUGUCACAUACCUUUUGUGGAAUAACUUGAGCAGAUGCUAGAAUAUGCUAAAUUUAUGAAAGAUAUGGUUACCAAGAAGAGAUAUGUAAGUUUUGAUGCGACUGACAACUUGCACCACUGCAGUGCAAUAGCAUCUUGUUCUCUUGUCCAGAAGAAGGAAGAUCUUGGGGCUUUCACAAUUCCAUGCACUAUUGGGGAGUUUAACUUACCUAAGGCAUUAUGUAAUCUGAGAGAAUAUAUAAACUUAAGGUCUCUUGUUGUGUUCAUACAGUUGGGGUUAAGAUCCCUCAAACCGACUACGAUGCGGCUACUUAUGGCGGGUUGCACUAUGAAGCAUAUACAAUAGGUAUUUUAUAUGAUGUGCUAGUGAAGUUUGAGACCUAAAUAAUAGGUUAUUGAUUUUAUGUUUGGUUAGUAAGAAGAAAAUAUUGUCUCAAGAGAAUCUAGGUAGCAUCAGUCAAAUACUUUAACAUUGGACCCGUACCCCAGACUUUAACUCAGACUCAGACCCUGAUCUAUAACCUAAUUGUCCCAAACCUUGCCCCUGCCCACAAGUAGAUCCUCAAACCGUUCAUGCCCUUACCCAAGAUCCGACACUGACUCGAGACCUAAUUUCGAUCCUAAUCCCGAGCUAAGAUUAAAGAACCGGAUGCAAACUAGGAUCCGACCUUGACAGUGACAUAUACAUAAUUGGGAUAAGGGUCGAGGCCAGAUAUCGAGCUAGGAGUCAAGUACUCAGAUCCCAAGUCAGGUUUAGUGACCAAGAGUUAGGAAUAAAGAGUUGAGUCUGAGGUCUCAAGUCUCAGGUUCAGGGUUAGGAUCAGGGAGUCCUGCCUAGUCCAGUCUAUCGUUUGGAGUUUGUACCCUUGUCAGGAUCAAUUCCGAGUCGAGUCUUAGAUUGGGGAAGGUUGCAUUUAUAAACUCAUGCCACACGUAAUCAGAUAUAAGGUCGAAUAAACUAGAAGAAAAUUUCACCAAAUUUCUUAAACUUUAUAUCACAUAUCAAGGAAAGAUUUGAAAUCAAGACAAUCAAAAAUGAAAAAGUAAAUUAGGGUUACAAGUGUUUUUGAGGCAGUGGGAUUGGGGAUGGAAAAACAGAGAUUGCAAAAAUUUUAAAUUAUAAUUUUUAGAAUUAAGAUUAAACAUAGUUCUUGUUAAAAAUAAACAAGGAAAUGAGGGCACAUAAUAUGGAAGAGACUAAAAUAUACAGUAUUAAGGGGAAUUUUAGCAGUUCAGUCGGUUGACUACCUGAAUUUUUGCCUCAUAAGUAAGAGUUCGAUUUCCUACUUUGUCAUCCCCUCCAUCAUUUCCCUUUUCAAUAAUAAUAAUAAUAAUAAUAAUAAUAAUAAUAAAUGGUAUUAAAAUAAAUCAUACAAACAUGGAAACAAAUCAAUCAACAUUCAAAGAGGAAAUAGACGGCGUUACCCAGUUUAAGAAGUAUUUGAAUAGUUUCGUCCAUAUUUUGCAAUAUAUGUGUCUCCUUUCCUCUUUUGUAUUAAUUUAUGAUAAAAGUUCCUCUCAGAUCUUCUUCUUUUUAUCCAAACUUUACCGUAAAUCGAAACGAAGAAAAAAAAGAAAGUGAAAAAAAGUUUGAAAAUGAAAAGAAUAUACUGAUUCACAUACAAAAUAACAGGGCUUGAAAAAGGUUGUUAAGGUUUAUAGGAUGAACGUGAGACAAAGAGAAGAGUUGGGGGAGAUUGAAGGACAUAGAAAUGGAUUAGGGUUUAAAAAAUAGUUGAGAGAGUUAAAAAAUAGUGAAGCGGAGAAGUUUGGGUUGUCUAGUUAAAUUGAAUGAACAACGGAGAUUAAAAGAAUCAAAUUGGUUGCGGCCCAAAAAAACCAACCCGAUACCCAAUUAUCUUACUCUCAACUCGAGAUUCAACCUCGACCCCAAUUGGAUCACAAUUAAGCGGCAAGGUCGAACCUAGUCUGGAGUCGGGUCCUUAAUCUCAGUUUGGAAUUAGGGUCGGGAUUAAGUCUCGAGUCAGCAUCGGGUCUUGGUAGUUGAUAGUGUUGAUGGUUGGGGCUUGGGUAAGGGCAUGAUUGGGUUGAGGAUUAUGUUCUGGGGUGGGGUUCAGGUUAAAGUUGAGGGCCCGGGUCCAAUGUCAAAGUAUUUGUUUGAUUAUACUUAAAUGUUCUUGAGACAAUAUUUUCUUCUUACUAGGAAAAAAAGUAUACCCGUAAUGUUCCUUCAUUUCUCCACUUAAAUGUAAUAUAUAAAAAAAACAAGAACUUGUGAAUUAUACAUUAAUUUAAGUUAUUAUAUGCCGAAAUCACUUUGUAUUAAGUGUUACCUACAUUGUAUAACAAAAGAAAAAUAUGAAUAUACACAAACCCACAAUCUUAGUGUUUCAACCUUAAUGAUAAAGGGUAAAAUGAAAUUUGUCGUUAACUUGUUACUAUCAAAUAUAGAAAAAUGUUGUUAUAUUUAGAAUUAAUUAAAAAGGAAAGGAGAUUAUAUAAAUUGCAAUAGAGGGAACAACAAUUUAAUAUAUAAUUCAUAUUUGGAAAUGUUAGGCAAUAAUUGUUUUUGUCACAACCCAAGUCUAUAUCAUGGACGUGGGCGGCAUUCGGAACAAUUGGUGUCCCGAGCUAACCCUUUGACGGGAAUACUAAAAGAUUGAAUAAUGACUAACGGGGAGGCUUUUAAGAGAUGAACAUACUAUGCAAUAACUUAGGACACAAACUUCCUCAAAAAAACUCAUUCUUACUCAAGGACAACAGUCCUCGUCCAAUGGCAUGCUACUAGGUUGUUUUGUCUGUCUUAUCAUUGAACAUGUUUACAAGAAACAAUCAAGUUUUUUGCAAUCUAGAAUAUUCAAAAGAAAAAGUCAUUCUCAAGGAAUAAAGACUCUCAAUAUAAAUGUUAAUCAUUUAUCAUCGGAACAGUUGUAAAAUUUGGGACUUGUGUUAUAUAUUAAACAAUUUUAUUGACCCGUUUUGGUUAGAAUUGGCUACUGCUUCCCUCUACUUUUCCAACUAACCUUGCAUCCUCAAAUUAUAUGAAAAGGGGAAAUAGAAACAGAUAAGGGAAAGCAUACACCGUAAAAUAUCCAAGGAAGAAUAAAAAAUUCCACAACUUUUCGAGGAGGAUUCAGUUGAGUACACAGUGGUGAGCCGACUCUGGUGAAAAAUGAUGUGUUAUAGGAAGAAGGAUGUGUUACCAAUCAAAAAUAAUAGAGGCAUACAAGUAGACAUCUUUCAGUUAAGUAUAUAUGGUUAAUAAAUAUACAUUUCGAUCUCUUAAAUAACGUAGCCAUGGUAAGUCUAUAUUGUUUCGUGUGAAACACUAGGUGCAAGUAAGUUUAUCUCGAUCCGCUUUGUGCACUUCUCGCAGAAGAAACUGAUUAAUAAGGAGUCUCAUUCUGCACUCGAUCAUUUGGCUUUUACAGUUUGCAUGAAUCACAGUUAUAAUACGAUCCAACUAAGAUUACACGUCUUUAUUUUUUGUAAGAUAAAAAUUAUCUUCCUGAAAAGAUUCCUGCAUCGUAGUAACUAAUUCCUGCUUGUAAAUAUGAUUGCAGCUCAUUUUGACAUACUAAUUGUUGGACAUGCUAUAGGUGAAGGGAGAAGGCACAGACAAGCAACAACUGGAUUGUCAUCAAACUCAUCGUUCUCUAGCAGGGACUUCAAAACUACAAAGUUUGUAGAUUUAGAAGAAGCAAUAAAAGAUCAAACAACAUUUUGAAUGAAACCGCAUCCUAUAGAUCUUCCUGUGCUCAUAGCUCUGCAAAAUAUUUACCAGCCUUGGAGUUCGAAGCAUUAGAGGCAUCAAUUCUAGAUUUGGAGGAACUUGCAAACAAAUCAGUUGGCUCAAACGGUUUAUGGAAUCUAGAAGACCUCUUUCUGAUGGUGUUACUCCUUCAUGGAAGUUUGUAAACCACCUUGGAACAUCAACAAAGAAUUGAUGGCUUUAGAAGUUUGGCUUUAUCCUUCCUGUCUUUGACUCCUAAAAUGUAGGUGAUACAAAAAGUAAAGGAGUAAAACAAGUGACUGGCCAUGGCUCCUCAAAGGGCAUUUUCCAGCUGAAUGUAGAGACCGAAGGAAUAACCUACAUUUUAGGAGUCAAAGACAGGAAGGAUCAAGCCAAACUUCCAAAGUCAUCAAUUCUUUGUCGAUGGUCCAUGAUAUUUUACAAACUUCCACGAAGGCGUAACACCAUUAGACAGAGGUCUUCCACAUUCCAUAAACCGUUUGAGCCAACUGAUUUUGUUUGCAAGUUCCUCCAAAUCCAAAAUUGAUGCCUCUAAUGUGUCGGACUCCAAGGCUGGUAAAGAUUUUGCAGAGCUAUGGGCACAGGAAGAUGCAUAGGAUGCGGUUUCAUUUGACAUGUCAUUUGAUCUGUUUGCAACGUCUUCUGAAUCUACAAACUUUAUUGUUUUGAAGUCCUUAUUAGAGAACGAUGAGUUUGAUGGCAAUCCUCUUGUUGCAUGUCUGUCCCUUCUCCCUUCACCUAUAGCAUUUCCAACUAUUAGAAAUUCAAAAUGAGCUACAAUCAUAUUUACAAGCAGAAAUAAGUUCCUACGAUGUAGGAAUCUUUUCAGGAAGAUAAUUCUUAUUUUACAAAAAACAAAGACAUGUAAUUUUAGUUGGAAUGCAUUCAAAGUUUGAUUCAGAUAUUGAAAAAAGUAAAAGCCAAAUGAUCAAGUGCAGAAUGAGAAUCCUUAUUUAUCAGUUUCUUCAGUGAGAAGUGCACAGAGCGGAUCAAGAUAAACUUACUUGUACCUAGUGUUUCACACCAAACAAUAUCAACUUACCAGGGUUAUGUUAUUCAAUGAGGUGGAAAUGUAUAUUUAUUAACCAUAUAUAAUUAAGUGAAAGAAGUCUACUUGUAUGCAUCUAUUCUUUUUGAUUGGUAGCACAUCAUUACAACUUUUAAUGUUCUCAUAUAGCAUGUAUUAGGGGAUUCAGCGACCACAUUCUCUUGCAAAUGGUUUUUCAUCAAUUGUCUACGUUGUUAAGUUUUCUGCAGUAUCAAUGAUAUUUCUUAUUUUGUUUCUUUCAUCUAUUUGACGAGAUUUGGGUUAAGUUUGAUGAUUGCAACACAUAUGCAUACUUCUUGAAAAAUACUUUUGGAAACUUAAAAUUGCAAUAAAUCAUUAUAACUAAUUCGUUUCUUGUUACAGGGUCUUUUAUAGUAUAAUGUCUUACUCGUGCACUCUUUUUACUUUUGC